This 491-nucleotide ribosomal RNA is filed under the name uncultured bacterium. RNAcentral describes it as "partial 16S ribosomal RNA". It matches the Rfam family "Bacterial small subunit ribosomal RNA", at positions 30 to 507 of the family's 1533-position model. The record is from RNAcentral.
AUUGAACGCUGGCGGCAUGCUUUACACAUGCAAGUCGAACGGUAACAGGCCUUCGGGUGCUGACGAGUGGCGAACGGGCGAGUAAUGCAUCGGAACGUACCCAGAGGUGGGGAUAACGCCGCGAAAGCCUUUCUAAUACCGCAUUUGAUCUGGGGAUUAAAGCGGGGGACCGGGCAGCAAUGUUUUGCCUCGCGCCUUUUGAGCGGCCGAUGUCGGAUUAGCUAGUUGGUGGGGUAAAGGCCUACCAAGGCGACGAUCCGUAGCUGGUCUGAGAGGACGACCAGCCACACUGGGACUGAGACACGGCCCAGACUCCUACGGGAGGCAGCAGUGGGGAAUUUUGGACAAUGGGCGCAAGCCUGAUCCAGCAAUGCCGCGUGCGGGAAGAAGGCCUUCGGGUUGUAAACCGCUUUUGGCAGGAACGAAACGGUGUCCGCUAAUACCGGGCGCUAAUGACGGUACCUGCAGAAUAAGCACCGGCUAACUACGUG